This 75-nucleotide transfer RNA is filed under the name Clostridium perfringens. Its description in RNAcentral is "tRNA-Arg(cct)". It matches the Rfam family "tRNA". From Rfam's summary of the family: Transfer RNA (tRNA) molecules are approximately 80 nucleotides in length. Their secondary structure includes four short double-helical elements and three loops (D, anti-codon, and T loops). The record is from RNAcentral. RNAcentral also lists the same sequence under 26 other names. Lineage: Bacteria; Bacillati; Bacillota; Clostridia; Eubacteriales; Clostridiaceae.
GUCUCCAUAGUUCAAUGGAUAGAACAAUCCCCUCCUAAGGGAUAAAUGUAGGUUCGAUUCCUACUGGGGAUACCA